RNAcentral lists this ribosomal RNA (254 nucleotides) under uncultured bacterium. Its description in RNAcentral is "partial 16S ribosomal RNA". It matches the Rfam family "Bacterial small subunit ribosomal RNA", at positions 524 to 776 of the family's 1533-position model. The record is from RNAcentral.
UACGUAGGAUCCAAGCGUUAUCCGGAAUUACUGGGCGUAAAGCGUCUGUAGGCGGCUUUUCAAGUCAGCUGCGAAAUCUUGCGGCUCAACCGUAUAGAUGUUAGCUGAAACUGAUUGGCUAGAGGUAGGUAGAGGCAAGUGGAACUUGCGGUGUAGGAGUGACAUCCGUAGAUAUCGCAAAGAACACCAAUGGCGAAGGCAGCUUGCUGGGCCUUACCUGACGCUCAGAGACGAAAGCGUGGGGAGCGAACGGG